UCAACAACGGAUCUCUUGGUUCUGGCAUCGAUGAAGAACGCAGCGAAAUGCGAUAAGUAGUGUGAAUUGCAGAAUUCAGUGAAUCAUCGAAUCUUUGAACGCACAUUGCGCCCCUUGGUAUUCCAUGGGGCAUGCCUGUUCGAGCGUCAUUUGUACCUUCAAGCUCUGCU
This 170-nucleotide ribosomal RNA is filed under the name Epicoccum nigrum. Its description in RNAcentral is "5.8S ribosomal RNA". The stretch from base 1 to 149 matches the Rfam family "5.8S ribosomal RNA". Rfam says of the family: 5.8S ribosomal RNA (5.8S rRNA) is a component of the large subunit of the eukaryotic ribosome. Lineage: Eukaryota; Fungi; Ascomycota; Dothideomycetes; Pleosporales; Didymellaceae. The record is from RNAcentral.